RNAcentral lists this ribosomal RNA (253 nucleotides) under uncultured bacterium. RNAcentral's name for it is "partial 16S ribosomal RNA". It matches the Rfam family "Bacterial small subunit ribosomal RNA", at positions 524 to 776 of the family's 1533-position model. The record is from RNAcentral.
UACGUAGGGUGCAAGCGUUGUCCGGAAUUAUUGGGCGUAAAGCGCACGUAGGCGGAUUUUUAAGUCAGGGGUGAAAUCCUGGAGCUCAACUCCAGAACUGCCUUUGAUACUGGGAAUCUCGAGUCCGGAAGAGGUGAGUGGAACUGCGAGUGUAGAGGUGAAAUUCGUAGAUAUUCGCAAGAACACCAGUGGCGAAGGCGGCUCACUGGUCCGGUACUGACGCUGAGGUGCGAAAGCGUGGGGAGCAAACAGG